CCGCCAGAAAACUACGAGCGAAAAGCUUAAAACUCAAAGGACUUGGCGGUGCUCCACACCCGACUUAGAGGAGCCUGUCCUAUAAUCGAUACUCCACGCUAAACCCAACCACUCAUUGCCCAAACAGCCUAUAUACCGCCGUCGCCAACUUACCCCAUAAGGGUCAACAGUAAGUACAAUAGCCAAUUAGCUAAAACGUCAGGUCAAGGUGUAGCUAAUAGAGUGGUAGAGAUGGGCUACAUUUUUU
RNAcentral lists this ribosomal RNA (247 nucleotides) under Phrynosoma orbiculare (mountain horned lizard). RNAcentral describes it as "partial 12S ribosomal RNA". It matches the Rfam family "Bacterial small subunit ribosomal RNA", at positions 869 to 1235 of the family's 1533-position model. Lineage: Eukaryota; Metazoa; Chordata; Lepidosauria; Squamata; Phrynosomatidae. The record is from RNAcentral.